UCGAUUUGGUGUGACGUGUUUGUUUCAGCAGGGAAGGACUGCAAGGAGCACCCCAACGUCAAGCAGGUAUCUUGGUGACGUGUUUGUGUUCCUCUGCUGCGUUGCCUGCUACAAUGUGUGUUCUGAUUUGGUUGAUUUGGUGGUGACAAGUUCAAGUCCAUGCCUGAUGCUGUGAGUUCCUCACUUCCUGUGCCCAUGUUCCAAACCGUUACAUAUGCAUUUCUCACUUGAUGUCCUAUUGUUUGAAACUUGCUGCCUUUUAGAACCUCCUUAGUUGUCUCAAUGCUUUUACUUUUAUUACUGCCAUGUUAAUGAUCUUGUGGCUGAGUCCUUCUGUUUUCAUGGAGUGCAUUGCAUUAAAAAAGAUCCCGUAGAUUUUUCUUCAUUUGUUAAUUAUAUUGCCAAAACGUGCCUUGCACGCGCACGAUAACAUAGUCAGCUUAGUAGAAAGACUGCAUUUUUUUCAAUAUUUGCAAUCUGGUUUAUUUUGAGACAUGGUUUGGGCUUGAUUAUUAUCUCAUUCUUUUGCUGUACUGAAAUUGGUUUUGGAUUUAAUUGUGGACUAUGUCUGUGUCACUACAACAUCAGGUAUUGGUUAUAAUUCAGCUAGAGGAAAGUAGAGUACUUUGAAGUGUUUGAAUGGUUUUCACAUGUAUACUCUGCUAGCUACCCUUUAGUAAGUAUAUUCAUGUAAAGGGGAGUAAUAGAUCAUUGCACUAAUGUUCAAACUCUAUUGAGAUUGUCCCAGGUGUCACUUUGUUCACUGAAAAAAAAAGAGAACAUUUAUAGGUUUUUUUUGCUGCUUGGGAGAGGAUGCUGCCGAAUUGAAUUAAGACAGCCUUCAGAAUCUGGUAUAUCUAAUGGUCUGUAAAAUUUUACACAAGCAACAGGAGGGACCAUCAAGGGAAUGUUUCACAUGUGAUGGAUUUUGUAUAGAAAAAGGAGAUUCAUUGUUUGCUGAAGGUGUAUUGAAAGUUGCUUGCCGAUAAAUAAAGACCCCAUGGAUAGAUGCAAUGAUGCAUUAAGCUCUUGAAGGAGGAUUAACGGAAAACUAUGUCGAGUUUUUAGUAGCCUUGUUUGGGCUAACGACACUCGGUUUAUUGUUCUAGAUCUCUGACCUAAGAAUCCUGUUUUAGUUUUUUUUAGAUCUCUUGCUUUGGGUGUUGUUUGCUCUAGGUGUUCUGUUGUCCGCAGUUUCAGGUGCUUUGUAGUGUAGUUUAGUUUGGGGGUGUUCUCAAGGUGUUGUACAGUGAAUUGGUUUCGGUGCUUGCCCUUUGUUGCGUUGGUGUUGUUUAUGUUCUCUAUAUCGAUGAAAGAUGUUAAAGCUUUUGCCUUUGUUUCGAAAAAGAUUGAAACCACAU
This 1361-nucleotide small RNA is filed under the name Oryza sativa Japonica Group (Japanese rice). Its description in RNAcentral is "sRNA Os06g0343200". The record is from RNAcentral. Lineage: Eukaryota; Viridiplantae; Streptophyta; Magnoliopsida; Poales; Poaceae.